Molecule: small RNA, 171 nt
Filed under: Chrysemys picta bellii (western painted turtle)
Lineage: Eukaryota; Metazoa; Chordata; Testudines; Emydidae
Description: TUC338 (ENSCPBG00000009785.1)
Source: RNAcentral
AGGGGAGGAUUGGAGACUGAAAUCCUCUGGUUUCCCACAGAACAAAGCAGCAGCACUGCACGCUUCCCCACGCACACUGCCCUGUGUGCCUGAAAUCUGGACCUGGUAGGUACUGCCUGGAGGGGAUGAGAGGCCAAUUCAGUUUCUAAGUCCAUUCUGUCCUUGGCCUCU